UAGAAAAGAUGUGACUGGUAAUUGCUGAUGAUGUGGAAUGUAUCAGCCAUAAUAAAUCAACUACUGAGAUUUUUACUUCUUUUUGCUCGUUAGCAGUGUGUGUGUGUGCAUGUGUGUCUGUUGAAAGAGAGAGAACCAGUCAUCUAU
This 147-nucleotide small RNA is filed under the name Marmota monax (woodchuck). The record is from RNAcentral. Lineage: Eukaryota; Metazoa; Chordata; Mammalia; Rodentia; Sciuridae.